GGCCUCCUUGUGCUUACCCAGGCUGCACUCUUACACUGACUGUUCUGAAAGAGGAGGCCAUAUAAAUGUAUACCUCAGCCUACACUACUGUGCCUAGUCUGUAUUGUGAACGGGGAGACACAA
Acomys russatus (golden spiny mouse) is the source of this 123-nucleotide small nucleolar RNA. RefSeq annotates it as small nucleolar RNA SNORA51. The record is from RefSeq and is a predicted model, not a curated record. Lineage: Eukaryota; Metazoa; Chordata; Mammalia; Rodentia; Muridae. The transcript has a single exon.